UCCUGCGAGCCUGGGGCACAGCGCUGGCCCGUUUCUUCCUGCUGCGGGGUGUCCCCUUCCUGCUGCACCGCGGAGAAAUGGCGCUGCUGCUGCCAGGGUGUCUUUUCUGCCUCUUGGCGGCUCCCUGCUGUGUCCUGUCGCAGAUCCGCCUGGUCCCGUCCGCCCCGGGAGUGGUGAAGCCCGGAGAGUCCCUCACGGUGACUUGUGCAGUGUCGGGGGACUCCAUCGCGACCCGCGCCUGGUGGAACUGGGUGCGCGAACUCCCCGGCCGAGGGCUGCAAUGGGUGGGGCGCAUCCAUUUCUCCGGGAGCACGAACUACGCCCCCGACCUGCAAACGCGAGCGAGCAUCGCCAAAGAUGACGCCAAGAACGAGUAUUACCUGCAGCUCCGCUCCCUGACCUCUGCGGACACCGGCACCUAUUACUGCACCAGGUGGGACCCACGGUGAUACGCGCCGGGACAAGACCUGAGAGGGGAGAGUCUCCCUGA
Non-coding RNA from Gopherus flavomarginatus (Mexican gopher tortoise), 490 nucleotides. NCBI's taxonomy places the organism in Eukaryota, Metazoa, Chordata, Testudines, Testudinidae. The record is from the annotation of a RefSeq genome assembly.